RNAcentral lists this long non-coding RNA (1830 nucleotides) under Pelobates cultripes (western spadefoot toad). Lineage: Eukaryota; Metazoa; Chordata; Amphibia; Anura; Pelobatidae. The record is from RNAcentral.
GUUAGAUGGCCGCCAUUUCGGGACUUUACACGUGUUCGCGGCCAUCUUACGCACGAACGGCGGUGUUUGCCUGUGAACGCAUGAAAGGUAAAUCUGCUAAUCUGGUGACUCGGUCCCUCUGGUCACUAUUCUCCAACCCUCGAUUGUCAGCUGAAUAUUCAGGGAAGAUUUUUAUGGAAGCGUAUUAACCAGACACACACUCUUUGCUUUCCAUAAUCUUCUGACAAUGUAUUCAAAAUGCUCUGUACUUAUACAAUAUUUGUCACGAAUAUUGGUUACAAAAGGUUACAAAAAGGUUACACAAGAUACAUAAAAGAGGAAGUAGUUUCUGCUGUUACAUUCAAUAAUCUAAUCUUACAAAAUAUCACAUAUACAUUGUGGUUAGGCAUUUCCUGAUAACUUUCAGUUAUGUUUUGCAAGCAGUUCUGAAAAGAGCUUGCUACUACAUAUACAAAAUAAUUCAAUUUAUACAAUACUGACAGAUUAAUUGUUUAACCCCUUAAGGACCAAAUUUCUGGAAUAAAAGGGAAUCAUGACAUGUCAUGUGUCCUUAAGGGGUCAAUAUUCCUUCAUUUUCCCCUCUUUGAGCAAUAUCUUGCUCAUACCCUAUUUAAGGAGUCCUGGUCAGACAACCAGCCAUCUGCCAUGGUAUAUUCAGGAUUGCUAGCCAAUCCUGCAGGUCUUUCAUUAUGUCUUCGGCCACUAUUCCCAUAGCAUAGGACUAGGCAUCUGACCAGUACCACAAACUUAUAGAUCUGUAUCAGCAUGUUCACCAUUGCUUCGGUUAUGUGUAUACAUUUGGAGAUACUCAUCAUAGCAAGCUGGGGAUUUUACAGGAACAGUGUUGCGUGUAUGUUUGUAAAUGCAGAAUACAAUAAUCUUGAAAAUAGCAUAAACAAGCAGAGCAAGGAUCAGAACCAUAACAAUAAGUAUUGCAAUAUUCUUUAACCAGUCUAGGAUACUGUCAGACUUAAACAUAUCUGCCCAUGGGUGAUCAAUACCUGAAUUCCUCUUCAUUUCUAUGGACAGGUCUUCCAAUUUCUUUAUAGCUAGGGUUACUUUACCAUUAGGGCCAGUGUUCUCUGCAAUAUAGGUACAACAAACACCGGAGUCAAGUAAUUUACAGACUCCUCCCUUUUCUGCUAAAAUCAUAUCAAGGGCCAUUCUAUUCUGGAAAGUCGUUUGUGAGGUAGCCUGUAAUUGUUCAGCAAGACCUUGUAAUGCAUCUCGUGUAUAAUUUACAAAUCUUUGCUGAUUAUAAUAUAUAUAAUUAAUCCAGUUAACAUUCUUGUUAGCUGUUAUAAUGGGAAAUAUUGAUUCAAAUCCUGCUGCCACCUCGUCUCUAGCUUUAAAUUCAUUAGGAACCCCUCUUGGAAUACCAAUGGCAUCUAGAUAGAUAUGUGGGUCGAAACUACCUUGUCGGGAUUUCCUUUUCCUUCUUGUGGAAUCAGUUACAACCUUAAUUUCAGGGAGAGAGUCGCCAAAUAUAUGGAGGGGCAUGAUUAUUUUGGCUGGGGCACAUUCUCCUCUCCAGGGGGUGGGGAGUCUAGAACGUAUUUUCAUAUCUCCACAUAUUCAAUAAACAUCUCCCACAGAUUGUGUUUGAUUCACUAAGGUAAUAUUACUGUAGGCGGAGCAGAAUCCUGAAGAAAAGUUAUCAAAUGGUUUACCCACCUUACAAUUAUUAUUUCCCUGAAAACAAGUAUAAUUACCAGGGUAUACUGAGACAACAUCAUUUAAUUUAAACUUGGGUUCACCAAUAGGGUGACCCUUUUUCCAUUCUUCACAUCCUGUAGUAUUAACAGUGGUACCUGAAAACAAACUUAGGAA